UUAAUCUGGCAACAUGCAAUGCAACCCUGAUAUAAGUGUUAGCCAAUCAAAAUAAAUCUUUUAAAAUUUUCAAUUACGGAAAUGUGAUGCUUCCAUGAAACGCACACAACGCCAAGCGUUUGGUCGAAAUUGGAUUUCAUUCGUAAUUUGACCGAGAACGGUUUGUGUCUGGCGUAAAUUUAUUGCUGUUGUUGCAACGAUUUCUAUUUUACAGAGAAACAAAAAAUAGUUUAAAGUGAACCCAAAGUUAAAGUAAUUCUGCAAGUUUACUGAAAGCCGUUGUAUUAAAUUAAUUUUCAAUACUUGGUACAUACACAAAUUUAUCGAUUUGUGUCAGCAAACACAUCGGAUCAGACGACGAAUUCACUAGUAUUGUGUCAGCCAACAUGGCGGACGACGAGCAAUUCUCGCUUUGUUGGAAUAAUUUCAACAGCAAUUUGUCGGCUGGUUUUCAUGAGUCGCUAUGCCGUGGUGACUUGGUGGACGUGACGCUAGCGGCGGAAGGGCAAUUUGUCAAAGCGCACCGUUUAGUUUUGUCUGUAUGCUCGCCCUAUUUUCGAAAAAUGUUCACACAAAUGCCGGCCAAUCAACAUGCUUUCGUUUUUCUCAAGGACGUAUCUCAUACAGCAUUAAAAGAUCUUAUACAAUUUAUGUAUUGUGGAGAGGUAAACGUGAAGCAAGAAGCAUUACCAGCGUUUAUUAGCACAGCCGAAGCUCUUCAAAUAAAAGGCUUAACAGAUAGCGAUCCUCCACCAUCGCAAUCGCCAGCGGAACCUUCCACACCUUCCCCUCAAAUUCAACAGAUAUCUUCGCCUCGCGUCCGCCAACGAACAUCAACUUCUCGCUCGUUUAAAAUAGAAUCUGUGGAAGAUUCUGGAGAUGAUAAACAAACUCAGAUUGUCAUACAAACUACGGCGGCUCCUGCAGCACAACAAGUCGUUGCUCAACCGCAAACACAACAUUUGCCGACUCAAAGUCAAACGCAUAUAGCACCUCAACAAAUCGCAACCACCACAACCGCCACUACUACAACCGUUGUUACGCAUAAGCGACCAGCGCGAAGUAUUGGAAGUGGGCCCCACAUUAAACGCACCAAAAGUACAAUUGAUCCGCUAGACACAACUGAUGUGUCGACCGGAACUCAACAACUAACUGUUCAAACAGCAGUUGUUGCUGCCCCUGCGCCUGAGACUAAAACACAAAUACAGCAACAACCAAGUGAGCCCGAAUAUAUAGACUUGCCAAUAGAGUUGCCUACGAAAUCUGAACCAGACUACGCAGAAGAUGCUGGUGACGUAGAAGGAGGCGAAAAUGAGGCCACUUAUGUAGAAGAUGAUUCUUAUGGAGAGCUUAGGUAUGACGAAAGCUAUUUUACUGAAAAUGACGAUACACCUGCAGGUGCGACGACGGUACAAACUGGAACAGGUUCAGGUGGUGGUGUGAAUGCAACAACAUCAAAAGCUUUGGUGAAACAGCAACAAUCAUCAUUCACCGACACAUCGUACGUGGACGUGGCCGACCAAGGAAACAGUGACGCACAAGAUAAAGAUAUAUAUGAAGAGGAGAUCUAUUUACAACCAACAAUUCUACAUGAGCCAACCGAACGGGCACCUAUACAGCAACUGCAUACACAUAACGCCUUUGAGGGUCCCGUUUUUGUAGUGAGCAAAUAUGGUACAAGGCAACUGGUGCUGAAGCAACACACAUUCAAUCGGCACGUUAGCCGUGAAGAGGUCACAUAUUGGCGCUGUAGCCAAUUUGCUGUAUUGCGUUGCCGUGCGCGUAUCAAGACAAAGGGAAACACAUUAACGGUGUUGAAUAGUGAACAUAAUCACGAGGUUAUUACAAAAGCUCGAAAGUAUGGAUCACUUAAAGCAGCUGCAGCGGCGGCAGCUGCAAUGUCAUCAAAUAAUACUACUCCGGUUGCUGGCAAGACCGAACAGUUAAUUACUUUUCCUAUAUAACGGGAUUUCGUGGUAGCCGCAAGCUGAAGGUGGGCGACUAUAGCUUUACGCGCAACAAAUCGUCUGGCUCGAAAACGUACUGGUCCUGCGCACGCGCAGGUAUACACAAGUGUAAAGCGCGCGUUGUGACGAUAGAUGAGGAUUGCCGACACGAUGUUAUAGUCAAAUGCGAGCAACAUAAUCACCCGCCAUUUUAAGCCACAACAAACCGCAGCAAGGAAUAAAAUACAGAUUUUGUUUCUUCACUUAGAUGGAUAUUUUUUUUGAACUGAAUUAAUUUAUUUUAUUUUAAUUUCAUUAGAGAAGAAUGCAAAUAAAUUUAAAGCUAAAUAUAUGAAUACAAUUUUUGACCGACAAAGAAAAAGAAAACAUUAAUAGUCAAAUAACCAAAAUUAAUGGCGUCAUUGUUCUAAUAUGAACUAGCGGACAUGAGUGUGCGUGAAAGCUUGCUCUCAUUCACGUUGGGACAGCGUGGCUGCACCUUACUAGUUUUCAAGGGUUACAAUUAUGUACGAAAUCGACGUAGCGGUCUGAAGACUUAUUGGAUAUGUGCGAAAAAGGGCAGCACCAAGUGUAAUGCACGCGUGGUCACUGAUGUUGUUGAUGGUGUGCAGAAAAUUGUGUUGGAGUCUUGUCGACACAAUCACGCACAAAAAGUAGCACGCAAAAAGCGCAAAACAUCGAUAGAGCAGUCAGCGAGCACAAUUUUAAGUAGUAUUGCCGAUUCAAACAAAUGCGUUGAAGUACAUAUGAAAAACGAAAUCUUGAACAUUGCGCCCAAUGCAGCUUUCACAUAAAGAAAUUAAUAUUCGUUGUGAACUAUAGAUUACUUCAAUGCAUGUUAAAUUGCAAAACCAAAAGACUUAUUGAAAAUACACUUUCAAGCACAUACAUACAAAACUAAACACCAAAUGUUAUAUUUCUGCUAAGCCGUUUGUGUUUAACGCUUCUCAAAUUCGAGUACGGAAUAUUGUAAUAGGAUGCUUCUAUUCACAUUUACUCAUCGCAUAAGCAUAAAAGUUAAUGAUAUUAAUUUAUACUAAAUUUUGCAGAAAUCGCUACUUUCAGUACCGGCCAACGCGGAUGCACAGUACUCGUUUAUGGAAAUCAAAAGUUCGUGAAGAAUCGCAAAUCAAGCACGCGCACCUACUGGAUCUGCUCAAAAAAGGACGUUACUUGGUGUAGGGCACGCGUGGUGACAGCGCGUGAUAAGCAAGGCACUGAACGCAUACUUCAUCGCACUUUCGAACAUAAUCACACACGAAAAUAUCCUCGUAAUCAGACUGGAGUGCAGCGAACUGAACUUUUUCUUAAAGAUCUUAUGUCGUUGCGCAGUUAGAAGUUGUGUUCCCAAAUAAAAUGUAUUAGCUGAUCGGUUAAAGUUAUAAUUUUUGUUUAAAUGUAUUUAGGAUGUUGAAUAAAUAAUUGUAUUUAUGAUUGUAAAAAUUACAGAUUAAGAUUGCUCUGUUCAUAUAUUUGUUAUAAAUACUAAUUGAAGUAAUUUGUGUUCCUUUUCUAUAACGGUCACUGUCUCUUCUUUGUCUUUGCUGUUAAUUUCAGAUUCAAUGAGAACUUUUCAGUAUAGCAUAACGAAUUGUAAAUUUGAGAUGCCUUGCAGCGAUGAGAGUUUCUUGCCAAUAUUUACGACCUUGCACGAUACAAAAAAUAUUAGCGUCGAAGGCAAAACGCUUAAAGUUAAAACUGGCUUGUCAAAACGUAAACCGUCGUUUCUGGAAAAUCGUACCUUGGAUGACUGGGGCGCUAUCAAAUAUAGCACCACAUCGAGAGGCAACAAGCUACUGUCAUAUGAAGGUCAUCGUUUCAUCAAAAACAACAUCUACGGCACGAAGGUGUAUUGGAAGUGCACAAAGUGGCAUAGCAACUGUAAGGCACGUGCAAUCACUAGUUUCGCGGCGCCAACACGUUGCGUUAUAAAAGGCGUGCACAACCAUUCGAUUGUGAAGGAGGAAUAAUUUCGACUAUAAACUACUUACUACUUAAUAACGGCAAUGGCGGUGCAUGUGGAAAAUGCAAUACAAAUGCAUAAACGUCAGCUAAGUUUAUAUUACAUACAUAGUUUUUUAUGUAUGUUGAGUAAUCGCUUUGAACAUUCAUGCCAUUUAAUUCAAUAAUUUUUUAUAAUACAAUUAAAAUAUUUAGAAAAAAGACUAUGGGCAAAAAUACGCUUGUACAACAACGUUAUUUUUUAUUAUAUAUAACUACAAUAAACAUAUUGUUUGUAUCAAACGUUUUUGAUUUAUAAAUCUUAGCAAAAAAUCGAAUGUCCCAACUACUAAUUUUAGUUUGCUCAAAGUCGAUUUCACAAUGAAGAUAUAUUUUUACAUUUUUUUUUGUAUUAUUAAAAGCUAGUUAUAGCUUAUAGCUAUAAUAACUUUAGCCACAUUGAACUAUAAGCGCACACUGUGAGUUUAACUUUACUUGGUUAAGUUUUUAAUGAAUUUUACUUCUAUAUAGCUUUAGUGCACUACAUAAUGGUAAUAUUUGUAUUUGUAUUUCGUAUAAAAUUUUUUAUUUAUAGUUAAUUAGUAUAUCCUACUAACCGUUUGUUAUUUUUUUUUUUACAGGUUUUCAAAUCGAUUUUAUUGAUUCGAAAAAGAAUGGUGGAAAAUUGUUGGUUAUAAAUGGAUUUCGCUUCUUUCGUAACAAGAAACGUGGUUCCCGCCAGUAUUGGAAGUGCAGUAAUUAUUACAAAGAGAAAUGUCCCGCCAUUGCGAUAUACGAUGAGACAACGUUAAAUUUACGUUUAUGCCAUCAGCAUAAACAUGUAACCAGCAAUGAUAUUGAAAUUAAACCUUUUCUACCCAAAGACUGUGCACUACUCGAUGAGGGUCAUAUUGACUCGUUGCACGAUGACAUAGACGAUCUUAAGGUUUAGAAUAUAUGUUGAGAAGCGCAUAAUGAAAUUUAAGCCAAAAAUAUGGCGAUUGUUUUAUAUUCUGGCAUACGAAAGCAUCAUAGAAUACAUCUGAAGUGGAGUGUAGAUGUAUCGCUAUACCAAAAUAUAGAGUUCUUGUAAAAAUUAUUUUUAAUUACAUAUAGCUAAAAUAUUAUAAAUUUAGUAAUAUGAGUAUGAUAUUGUAUACGACGUGUCUUACAAGCAGAAAUUUAAAUUUCAAAAAGCAAAUUUGCGAACUUUUACUUGAAAGUCUUUGCAGCAAAUCUGUUUUUCUACGAUAGGAUGCGCGUUGUUGUUGUUAAAGCAAAAUUUUCUUUAAAAAAUGCCAACUCAACGCAGAACAACCAAAGAUACAAUUUUCCGUCUCAAAACGUGGUGGCCAGUUGCUUUGGUUGGAUGGACUCAAAUAUUUUCGCAAUAAUGAGAACCGUACGAAUUUAUUCUGGCGCUGCCACUGGUACUACAGGCGUAUUCGUUGUCCCGUAUUGAUUUGCAUGAAUAAAUAUGACAGCAGUGACUUUCGUCAAAUUCAUAAACAUCGUCAUGUGAAGUCCAGCAAGAAGCAACACGGUACAAAUGUCGCUCCACUGGAAAUAGCAAACGCACUUCCACCUCAUUUGGCGACAAUCAAUAUCCAAACUGUGGCGGAUGUGGAAAUUGAUAAUGAGCAGGAAAUGCUCACAAUUUAAAAUUCGCAAAAUUAUAACUGUACAUUAUUAAAGUUCAUGUAAAACAAAAGAAAUGAAAACAAAUUUCAUAUUGUAGCUGUUGUGGUAUUAAUAAACAUUUAGGCAUAUUAAAAUAUUCGUUUGCUAACACUUGGAAUGUAUUAAAAAUCGUUCUUGCCAAUGAUGUGGUGCCAAACCCUGAAGAUGUGCUAGUCUUUUUCACGCAAUCGUUGCGCGGUAGACCCGCCAUAAUGGCCAACGGCGUACGUUUUCUAAUAAUGAGUGAAAAUAAGAAAAAGAUACUAUGGCGCUGUAGUUCGAUGGCAACCAAGAAAAUUAAGUGUCCAGCACGGAUCACCAUGAUAAAAGGGAGUCCUCCAAAGUUCAUCAUCAACAAAGCGGAGCAUAUUCAUGCAGAGCUAAAGCGCAACAAAUAUGGAUCGAGCAAACAGGCGCAGCACCAGCAACAUCAUCAUCACCAACAACAGCAACAGUACGAUCAUCAUCAACAGGAACUGAAUCAACAGUGUUACAGUGUGACAGCUAUGAAGGGUGAUGAGGAACAUGAUGUGGAAGUUGAUGGAAAUGUUAAAAUAGAAAUUCUAACACAAAGUAUCAGCAGCUCCACGCUGCAACGUCAGCAACAUCAGUAGAAUGCCUAACAGCAAAAACAAAAAAGUUAACAUCCAUUUAAACAAAAAUAUGCCGGUGAUUUCAACUGCAGUUUAGUUCAAUGAACACUGUCUCUAUUUUAUUGAUAUUAUAUACAUAUAUAUUUGUACUAUGCUAUAAAAUAGAAUAGAAAUGAGAAUUAUGUAAAUAGAGGCGUUUGUUGCUUGAUCACGCACGUUUUUGUGAUACAAAUUUCAUGAAAA
Non-coding RNA from Bactrocera oleae (olive fruit fly), 6424 nucleotides. Lineage: Eukaryota; Metazoa; Arthropoda; Insecta; Diptera; Tephritidae. The record is from RefSeq and is a predicted model, not a curated record.